This is a long non-coding RNA of Scaptodrosophila lebanonensis, 156 nucleotides long. RefSeq lists it as uncharacterized. Lineage: Eukaryota; Metazoa; Arthropoda; Insecta; Diptera; Drosophilidae. The transcript has 3 exons. The record is from RefSeq and is a predicted model, not a curated record.
ACGUGGCAACGCGUAGCUAAGCAACGCGCCUCACAAACAAACACGCAGCAAGGCAAACAAGCAAAUCUCGCCAUACCAGCAUAGCAGCUGAUGUUUUUAGAAUUGUUGACUGGGUAUGUACCGAAUAAUAAAGACACAGCCAACAACCAAAACGAC